GUGACAUCAGAACGGUGACAUCACAGGCAAGCCCUCCAAACAGAGAUAAGGGAGGAAGACCAGAGCCCUGAGUGGGAAGAUGCGCGGUCCUGUCCUGCCUGAGUCUGUCAGGGGCACCCAGCUGCUCUGCUGUGUGGCCCUCUGUCUCCUGGGGGCAGGUCCAGUGGGUGCUGAAGUCAUCCAGACCCCCCGACACCUAAUCCAAGGCAGGGGGGGGAAGGCUGUUCUGAAAUGCCAUCCUAUCCCUGGGCACCUAAGUGUGAGCUGGUACCAGCAGGCGCCAGGGCAGGGCCUCCGGUUCCUCAUUGAGUAUUACAACCAGGGGCAGAGAGAUAAAGGAGACAUACCGGGACGGUUCUCAGCUCAACAGUUUGGUAACUACAGCUCUCAGCUGGACCUGAGCUCUCUGGAGCUGGGAGACUCAGCCCUGUAUCUCUGCGCAAGCAGUGAAAGCUAUGAUUUUACCUUUGGCCCGGGGACCAAGCUGACAGUUGUCGACAACCUGGAAAGGGUCAAACCUCCCAUGGUCACAGUGUUUGAACCGUCAGAAGCAGAGACCUCCCGCACCCAGAAGGCCACGCUCGUGUGCCUGGCCACGGGCUUCUACCCCGACCACGUGGAGCUGAGCUGGUGGGUGAAUGGGAAGGAGGUCCAGAAUGGGGUCAGCACGGACCCUCAGCCCUACAGGGAGCGGCCCAACGACAAUGGCUCCAACUACUGUCUGAGCAGCCGGCUGAGGGUCUCCUCCGCCUUCUGGCACAACCCUCGCAACCACUUUCGCUGCCAAGUCCAGUUCUACGGGCUUGGGGACGAUGACGAGUGGGACAACCCCACCCGGCCGAAACCCAUCACCCAGAACAUCAGUGCUGAGGCCUGGGGCAGAGCAGACUGUGGCUUCACGUCGGUGUCCUAUCAGCAGGGCAUCCUGUCUGCCACCAUCCUCUAUGAGAUCCUGCUGGGGAAGGCCACCCUGUACGCUCUGCUGGUCAGCAUCCUGGUGCUCAGGGCCAAGGUCAAGAGAAAGGGCUCCUGAAGCUAGCUCAGAGGCAGAGCCAGCAACUUGCAGCCUGCUAUGGCCCCAACACGGAUUCUCCUUUUUCCACUUGCAGCCAGUGCUUCUCAAGAGCUGUUUUCAUCUCUCUGCUCACCCCAAUAGCUACUCCCCCCUAUGUUCGUGCACACCUGGACGCUCAUGACCCAAAUCUCCCCAACCCAGGGGGACCCCAGCAUGACCAACUUGACUGAAUCAAUAAACACGGCUUGUUCUGGCUUGACUCUG
Non-coding RNA from Ailuropoda melanoleuca (giant panda), 1279 nucleotides. The record is from the annotation of a RefSeq genome assembly. Lineage: Eukaryota; Metazoa; Chordata; Mammalia; Carnivora; Ursidae.